GUGAUGGUGUUUCAGUGGCAGAAAUCUCACCUUCCAUGUAGGUGACCUGGGCUCAAUUCCUGGCCAAUGCA
This 71-nucleotide transfer RNA is filed under the name Loxodonta africana (African savanna elephant). It matches the Rfam family "tRNA". From Rfam's summary of the family: Transfer RNA (tRNA) molecules are approximately 80 nucleotides in length. Their secondary structure includes four short double-helical elements and three loops (D, anti-codon, and T loops). Lineage: Eukaryota; Metazoa; Chordata; Mammalia; Proboscidea; Elephantidae. The record is from Rfam by way of RNAcentral.